RNAcentral lists this ribosomal RNA (496 nucleotides) under uncultured bacterium. RNAcentral's name for it is "partial 16S ribosomal RNA". It matches the Rfam family "Bacterial small subunit ribosomal RNA", at positions 28 to 523 of the family's 1533-position model. The record is from RNAcentral.
GUUGAACGCUGGCGGAAUGCUUUACACAUGCAAGUCGAACGGUAGAGGGGGCAACCCCUCGAGAGUGGCGAACGGGUGAGUAAUAUAUCGGAACGUGCCCAGUCGUGGGGGAUAACGUAGCGAAAGUUACGCUAAUACCGCAUACGAUCUAAGGAUGAAAGCGGGGGAUCGCAAGACCUCGCGCGAUUGGAGCGGCCGAUAUCAGAUUAGGUAGUUGGUGGGGUAAAAGCUCACCAAGCCAACGAUCUGUAGCUGGUCUGAGAGGACGACCAGCCACACUGGAACUGAGACACGGUCCAGACUCCUACGGGAGGCAGCAGUGGGGAAUUUUGGACAAUGGGCGAAAGCCUGAUCCAGCCAUUCCGCGUGCAGGAUGAAGGCCCUCGGGUUGUAAACUGCUUUUGUACAGAACGAAAAGGUUUCUACUAAUACUAGGAGCUCAUGACGGUACUGUAAGAAUAAGCACCGGCUAACUACGUGCCAGCCGCCGCAGUAA